UCAUAGACUUGCUUUCCCUGAGCUGCAGUUUUACAAGAAGGGAAAUCCAUCCGUGCAUCUGUUAUGAAAAUCAUGCUGAGGUGAAGAACAUUGUCUGUUGUCAUGUGUCGCUUCUCUGCCUAUACAGUAGUCCCUCCUUAUCCAUGGUUUUGCUUUCUGAGGUUUUAGUCUCUCGCGGUUAACCGCAGUCUGGAAGCAGAUGGUCUUCCUGACAUAACAGAAAGUCACAACAGCCUCACACGAUGUCACAGUGCCUACCUAGAUCAUUUACCUCACUUCAUCUCAUCAUGCAGGCAUUUUAUCAUCUCACAUCAUCACAGGAAGAAGGUUGAGUACAGCACCAUAUAAUAUUUUAAGAGAGAGACCACAUUCAAAUAACUUUUAUUAUAUCAUAUUGUUAUAAUUGUUGUGUUUUAUUAUUAGUUAUUGCUAUUGAUCUCUUACUCUGCCUAACUUAAAAAUUAAACAUUACUAUAAGUAUGAAUGCAUAGGGAAAAAAAACAUAGAACAAUAUGUACUUUCUACAGUUUCAGGCAUCCACUGGGAGGGUCUUGGACUGUAUCCCCUGAGGCUCCUAAGUGGGGGCCACAGUAUUCUCCCAUUAGCGAUUUGCUUCAGAAUUCAAGGGAAAGAAAAGCUUUGUUUCAGGUGAGGAAGUGGACUGGCCACUGUACUGAGAAGUCGAACUCCAGUGUUGAUCGUUGUUGGCGGACAGCUUUUAAGCCUCUCCCAUCUCCCUCUGUCCCUUGUGCCCAUAUUUGAACAAGCUGAUAACAAAGCCCCUUCUUUGGUGCCUGUGGGAGAUGCAGACCACCACAAGCACUCAGGAACCUUCACCCAGGCUCAACCCCUAACAAUAAAAACUCAAGCCAGGCCCCUGCCCUCACUCACCAGCCAUUUCAGUCUGCUUGAGAGGAGGCCCCUGCUCUCCACUACACCUCAGUGAUACUAGUGUGCUGUACAUCUGUGGACCCCUCCAAGGCAGGCAGAUGGGCAUCUCAUGGUUUGGACUUGACCUCCGAGACCGAGCUGGGUGCAUCUGGAUGAGACUCAACCACAAAGGGGCCCAGGAUGAGAAAAGGAUCACAGCUUCCAUACCAUCCCAGCAGACGGACACCUCCCUCCUGCAAGGAGGCCCUGAGACCAUCAUCCUUUCUCUUUUCACAUCUACAAAAUGUAAAGUCAUCUUCCAUUGAAUUGAUUUUUGAAAGGCUCUUUACAACAGUAUGCUGAAAUGCAUUCUGGAAAUGCACAGAUUAGAAUCUUACUUGACAAAAGGACAACACUCAGUGGCACACACAGUGAUUCAUUUGUAUCUCAAAAUCGCUUUUAUUUCCCACUUUUUCGACAGCUUCUAAAUCCACAUAGAAGAUAAUUUAUUUCAUCAUUAAAGCACCCCACUGUUAGAGGCUAAUUUAUAAGCAGAAUAAAUUAUUUCAGGGGCAUAGAACAAAGGCCAAGGAAGCUCCCACUUUAAACAUAUACACACACAUCCAUAUCCCCUUGGGGGGAAAGCCCUAAAUGGAAAUUUGUGUUUUUUUUAUCUCAAAGUUCUGAGCCCUUUGACUGAAAAUUCAUAUUUCUUGGCAAAGAACAAAUACAUGAUAUGGUGCUCAAUCUCACGAGAAGUCUGGGAAAUACAAAUUAAAGCAACAAUGAAGUAUCCAUAUUCAACUACCAGCUUGAUAAAAGUUUACAGACCAGGAACAUGCUGUGCUGGUGCGGAAGUGGAAAACCCCUUCUCAUUCAGUGGUGAUGGGAGUUUGAACUGCUACAAACUUUUCAUAAAAAUGA
This is a long non-coding RNA of Acinonyx jubatus (cheetah), 1794 nucleotides long. RefSeq lists it as uncharacterized. NCBI's taxonomy places the organism in Eukaryota, Metazoa, Chordata, Mammalia, Carnivora, Felidae. The record is from RefSeq and is a predicted model, not a curated record. The transcript has 4 exons.